This 497-nucleotide ribosomal RNA is filed under the name uncultured bacterium. Its description in RNAcentral is "partial 16S ribosomal RNA". It matches the Rfam family "Bacterial small subunit ribosomal RNA", at positions 28 to 507 of the family's 1533-position model. The record is from RNAcentral.
GAUGAACGCUGGCGGCGUGCCUAAUACAUGCAAGUCGAGCGAACGGACGAGAAGCUUGCUUCUCUGAUGUUAGCGGCGGACGGGUGAGUAACACGUGGAUAACCUACCUAUAAGACUGGGAUAACUUCGGGAAACCGGAGCUAAUACCGGAUGAUAUUUUGAACCGCAUGGUUCAAAAGUGAAAGACGGUCUUGCUGUCACUUAUAGAUGGAUCCGCGCUGCAUUAGCUAGUUGGUAAGGUAACGGCUUACCAAGGCAACGAUGCAUAGCCGACCUGAGAGGGUGAUCGGCCACACUGGAACUGAGAAACGGUCCAGACUCCUACGGGAGGCAGCAGUAGGGAAUCUUCCGGAAUGGGCGGAAGCCUGACGGAGCAACGCCGCGUGAGUGAUGAAGGUCUUCGGAUUGUAAAACUCUGUUAUUAGGGAAGAACAUAUGUGUAAGUAACUGUGCACAUCUUGACGGUAACUAAUCAGAAAGCCACGGCUAACUACGUG